GUGGCUUCGUCGAUUGAAUCGGCAAUGAUAUAUACAGGUGUGUAAUCUGCAAAUAAUCUGAAAUAACGAUUCUCUGGAAGGGGGAGUAUUGUAGGGUUUAUGCUUUAUAUUGCACUUGCUUCAUUACUUUACUUUGUUAAUUUUGAUAUUUUGGAUAUACCUAAGUUAGCUUUGUGAAAUGUAAAUCAAAAAGAAAAUUUUUCUCAUAUACACACAUACAUAUAAUUAUUUAGUAAAAAAUAAAGGUAGAAUGUCGAAUCAUUGGCAGCAAAGGCUUCCUUAGCUACUCGAGUUGACGCCUUUGGAGAGGAGGCGAGUUGUGAACUAGGAGCAACUCAUAGGUGAAACUAGAGGCACGCCUGCGAUCGCUGGAGGAAGGCAACCUACGCAGACUUUCUGGCACUGGAAAAGCAAACGCCAUAUUCAAAAAAUAUCAGGCUAAAAGCGAGGUAUUUCUUUGGAACUCGAGGCUGAUAGCACAAUAUCCGUUAAAAAGCGAGAACACUCAGAAUCAUCUCCAGCUGAAGUUCAGGAUGAAUCAGUGGUUGAAACUAGUGAAAAUCAAGAUGAAAGUACAGCUGGGGUAGGAAAGAAAAAGAAGAAGAAUGAAUCCGAGGCUGACAGCACAAUAUCCGUUAAAAAGCGAGAACACUCACAAUCAUCUCCAGCUGAAUUUCAGGAUGAAGCAGUGGUUAAAAUAGUGAAAAUCAAGAUGAAAGUGCAGCUGGGGUAAAAAAAAGAAGAAGAAAAAGAAGAAGAAUGAAUCCGAGGCUGAUAGCACAAUAUCCGUUAAAAAGCGAAAACAUUUAGAAUCAUCUCGAGCUAAAGUUUUGCAUAUUUCCAAUCACAUGAAGUGACCAUAAACCUUGGCUGUCUGAAGCGAGGUAUUAACUUUUGAACUGAAGGCUGAUAGCACAACAUCCGUUAAAAAGCGAAAAUAUUCAAAAUCAUCUCGAGCUAAAGUUUUGCAUAUUUCCGAUCACAUGAAGUGACCAUAAACCUUGGCU
Long non-coding RNA from Rhagoletis zephyria (snowberry fruit fly), 1007 nucleotides. RefSeq lists it as uncharacterized. Lineage: Eukaryota; Metazoa; Arthropoda; Insecta; Diptera; Tephritidae. The record is from RefSeq and is a predicted model, not a curated record.